Molecule: ribosomal RNA, 247 nt
Filed under: uncultured Erysipelothrix sp.
Lineage: Bacteria; Bacillati; Bacillota; Erysipelotrichia; Erysipelotrichales; Erysipelotrichaceae
Description: partial 16S ribosomal RNA
Rfam family: Bacterial small subunit ribosomal RNA
Source: RNAcentral
CGUCUAGAGAGACUGCCGGUGAUAAACCGGAGGAAGGUGGGGAGUGACGUCAAAUCAUCAUGCCCCUUAUGACCUGGGCUACACACGUACUACAAUGGCGCAUACAACGAGCUGCGAGAUGGUGACAUCAAGCGAAUCUCUUAAAAUGCGUCUCAGUUCGGAUUGGAGUCUGCAACUCGACUCCAUGAAGUCGGAAUCGCUAGUAAUCGCGGAUCAGCAUGCCGCGGUGAAUACGUUCUCGGGGUUU